UGGCGGACGGGUGAGUAACGCGUGGGGAACCUGCCUUGCACCGGGGGAUAACACUUAGAAAUAGGUGCUAAUACCGCAUAAGCGCACAGAGCCGCAUGGCUCGGUGUGAAAAACUCCGGUGGUGCAAGUUUAUGGACCCGCGUCUGAUUAGCUGGUUGGCGGGGUAACGGCCCACCAAGGCGACGAUCAGUAGCCGGCCUGAGAGGGUGAACGGCCACAUUGGGACUGAGACACGGCCCAAACUCCUACGGGAGGCAGCAG
RNAcentral lists this ribosomal RNA (261 nucleotides) under uncultured bacterium. RNAcentral describes it as "partial 16S ribosomal RNA". It matches the Rfam family "Bacterial small subunit ribosomal RNA", at positions 96 to 354 of the family's 1533-position model. The record is from RNAcentral.